UAUAUUUUAGUAUAUUAUGUACAUGAAUUUUUGAUAUUCAAAGGGAUAGAUUGAUUCUAUUAAGUAUAA
Molecule: transfer RNA, 69 nt
Filed under: Goliathus goliatus
Lineage: Eukaryota; Metazoa; Arthropoda; Insecta; Coleoptera; Scarabaeidae
Also listed under: 1 other name
Description: tRNA-Gln
Source: RNAcentral